GCCGCCUUAGCUCAUCUGGCAGAGCGCCCGCCUUGUAAGCGGGGGGCACCCGGAUCAUGACCGGGAGGCGGCUCCA
This 76-nucleotide transfer RNA is filed under the name Geothrix sp. RNAcentral describes it as "tRNA-Thr". It matches the Rfam family "tRNA". Rfam says of the family: Transfer RNA (tRNA) molecules are approximately 80 nucleotides in length. Their secondary structure includes four short double-helical elements and three loops (D, anti-codon, and T loops). Lineage: Bacteria; Pseudomonadati; Acidobacteriota; Holophagae; Holophagales; Holophagaceae. RNAcentral also lists the same sequence under 1 other name. The record is from RNAcentral.